UUUAUUCAUCUCUAUUUAUAUGUUGAAAUAUACAGAAUCAUGAAUCCCCAUGAUUGAUUUUGAUUUUGCUUAAUUGAUGGUAAUUUAAAGAUCUUCUUUUAAAGCCCUAAAAGCUUUACCUCGAUUGUUUAAAUUAACUGAUUUUAUUACGUUAUUUACCAUGGUAAUUCGUUUUUACUUAGUCUUUCCUUCAUUGGGUUUUUUUGAAUUUGGUCCUAGUUGGAUACUCUAUACCUACUCAACCUUGACUC
RNAcentral lists this long non-coding RNA (251 nucleotides) under Nicotiana benthamiana. RNAcentral's name for it is "long non-coding RNA (NBEN_LNC040560)". Lineage: Eukaryota; Viridiplantae; Streptophyta; Magnoliopsida; Solanales; Solanaceae. The record is from RNAcentral.